This 2157-nucleotide ribosomal RNA is filed under the name Salmonella enterica subsp. enterica serovar Chester. Its description in RNAcentral is "partial 23S ribosomal RNA". It matches the Rfam family "Bacterial large subunit ribosomal RNA", at positions 665 to 2802 of the family's 2925-position model. Lineage: Bacteria; Pseudomonadati; Pseudomonadota; Gammaproteobacteria; Enterobacterales; Enterobacteriaceae. The record is from RNAcentral.
GCCGGAGGGAAACCGAGUCUUAAUUGGGCGUUAAGUUGCAGGGUAUAGACCCGAAACCCGGUGAUCUAGCCAUGGGCAGGUUGAAGGUUGGGUAACACUAACUGGAGGACCGAACCGACUAAUGUUGAAAAAUUAGCGGAUGACCUGUGGCUGGGGGUGAAAGGCCAAUCAAACCGGGAGAUAGCUGGUUCUCCCCGAAAGCUAUUUAGGUAGCGCCUCGUGAAUUCAUCUCCGGGGGUAGAGCACUGUUUCGGCUAGGGGGCCAUCCCGGCUUACCAACCCGAUGCAAACUGCGAAUACCGGAGAAUGUUAUCACGGGAGACACACGGCGGGUGCUAACGUCCGUCGUGAAGAGGGAAACAACCCAGACCGCCAGCUAAGGUCCCAAAGUCAUGGUUAAGUGGGAAACGAUGUGGGAAGGCCCAGACAGCCAGGAUGUUGGCUUAGAAGCAGCCAUCAUUUAAAGAAAGCGUAAUAGCUCACUGGUCGAGUCGGCCUGCGCGGAAGAUGUAACGGGGCUAAACCAUGCACCGAAGCUGCGGCAGCGACGCUGAUGCGUUGUUGGGUAGGGGAGCGUUCUGUAAGCCUGCGAAGGUGGCCUGUGAGGGUUGCUGGAGGUAUCAGAAGUGCGAAUGCUGACAUAAGUAACGAUAAAGCGGGUGAAAAGCCCGCUCGCCGGAAGACCAAGGGUUCCUGUCCAACGUUAAUCGGGGCAGGGUGAGUCGACCCCUAAGGCGAGGCCGAAAGGCGUAGUCGAUGGGAAACGGGUUAAUAUUCCCGUACUUGGUGUUACUGCGAAGGGGGGACGGAGAAGGCUAUGUUGGCCGGGCGACGGUUGUCCCGGUUUAAGCGUGUAGGUGUGUGUUCCAGGUAAAUCCGGUUCACUUUAACACUGAGGCGUGAUGACGAGGCACUACGGUGCUGAAGCAACAAAUGCCCUGCUUCCAGGAAAAGCCUCUAAGCAUCAGGUAACAUCAAAUCGUACCCCAAACCGACACAGGUGGUCAGGUAGAGAAUACCAAGGCGCUUGAGAGAACUCGGGUGAAGGAACUAGGCAAAAUGGUGCCGUAACUUCGGGAGAAGGCACGCUGACACGUAGGUGAAGUGAUUUACUCAUGGAGCUGAAGUCAGUCGAAGAUACCAGCUGGCUGCAACUGUUUAUUAAAAACACAGCACUGUGCAAACACGAAAGUGGACGUAUACGGUGUGACGCCUGCCCGGUGCCGGAAGGUUAAUUGAUGGGGUCAGCGCAAGCGAAGCUCCUGAUCGAAGCCCCGGUAAACGGCGGCCGUAACUAUAACGGUCCUAAGGUAGCGAAAUUCCUUGUCGGGUAAGUUCCGACCUGCACGAAUGGCGUAAUGAUGGCCAGGCUGUCUCCACCCGAGACUCAGUGAAAUUGAACUCGCUGUGAAGAUGCAGUGUACCCGCGGCAAGACGGAAAGACCCCGUGAACCUUUACUAUAGCUUGACACUGAACAUUGAGCCUUGAUGUGUAGGAUAGGUGGGAGGCUUUGAAGUGUGGACGCCAGUCUGCAUGGAGCCGACCUUGAAAUACCACCCUUUAAUGUUUGAUGUUCUAACGUGGACCCGUGAUCCGGGUUGCGGACAGUGUCUGGUGGGUAGUUUGACUGGGGCGGUCUCCUCCUAAAGAGUAACGGAGGAGCACGAAGGUUGGCUAAUCCUGGUCGGACAUCAGGAGGUUAGUGCAAUGGCAUAAGCCAGCUUGACUGCGAGCGUGACGGCGCGAGCAGGUGCGAAAGCAGGUCAUAGUGAUCCGGUGGUUCUGAAUGGAAGGGCCAUCGCUCAACGGAUAAAAGGUACUCCGGGGAUAACAGGCUGAUACCGCCCAAGAGUUCAUAUCGACGGCGGUGUUUGGCACCUCGAUGUCGGCUCAUCACAUCCUGGGGCUGAAGUAGGUCCCAAGGGUAUGGCUGUUCGCCAUUUAAAGUGGUACGCGAGCUGGGUUUAGAACGUCGUGAGACAGUUCGGUCCCUAUCUGCCGUGGGCGCUGGAGAACUGAGGGGGGCUGCUCCUAGUACGAGAGGACCGGAGUGGACGCAUCACUGGUGUUCGGGUUGUCAUGCCAAUGGCACUGCCCGGUAGCUAAAUGCGGAAGAGAUAAGUGCUGAAAGCAUCUAAGCACGAAACUUGCCCCGA